Long non-coding RNA from Micropterus dolomieu (smallmouth bass), 774 nucleotides. RefSeq lists it as uncharacterized. The transcript has 3 exons. The record is from RefSeq and is a predicted model, not a curated record. NCBI's taxonomy places the organism in Eukaryota, Metazoa, Chordata, Actinopteri, Centrarchiformes, Centrarchidae.
UGUGUUGUGGUUUGUAGCCUGCCAUGAUCAGUCGCCUGUGUAGUUUGUCAGCCUUGGAUGUCUACCUGUAACAUUACUUGCCUGAACCUUGUAUCUGUGUUUACCCCAUGCCUCACUUUUUGGAUUUAUCAUUGGACUCAGCCACUGCCUGAACAACAAUUCAGAUUGGACUGAUCUCAAAAAGAUGUACUAUUGAGAUCUUAGUGUGUUCUCAAGAGUUAAAGAAAAGACUAUUCUGAGCAAAAGAUUUUUCCUCUGGGAUACAUCUACCAAACAACCAAUUCUCAAAAUGCUGCUGCUAACUCUGCAAUACCUGGAAACAGCUGAUACCUCGAGGGGAUGCUGUACUUUCACAAAAUAUGGUGUUCUCAUUUCAUUCUGGGAGGAGGAGGACCCCAAAGAGGACCAGAGGGCAUGAGAGGGAGACAGAGAUGGAGAGGCUUCUUCUCCAAGCCCUGAAGAGGCCUGCUGCACCAAUCCCACCUCCUCUCUCUCCAAAGCCUGCUUCUUUCCCUGCAAAGAUUGCCACCCCAGGAUAAAGAGUUUGUGAAAUUUCAAAUUCACAAGCUCAUUUAUGAAUCCAGAACUGUGGUGUGCAAUUUGGAACCUGUGGAAUAGGUUAUCGGGGUGAUAAUCUCUGCAGGAAACAAACCAGGCUUUUGUUUGUUUGUUAAAUUGUUUCUUUAUUCUUUUGUUUUUAAAUUUAUCAGUGUUUAAUUUUAAAAUGUUAAUGAAUGUUUGUACUAAGUUAUUAUAAAUACUCUAUAAUCCUUA